RNAcentral lists this ribosomal RNA (811 nucleotides) under uncultured bacterium. Its description in RNAcentral is "bacterial SSU rRNA". It matches the Rfam family "Bacterial small subunit ribosomal RNA", at positions 40 to 837 of the family's 1533-position model. The record is from RNAcentral.
CGGUAAGCUUUAACAUGCAAGUCGAACGGCAGCACGGACUUCGGUCUGGUGGCGAGUGGCGAACGGGUGAGUAAUACAUCGGAACGUGCCCAAUCGUGGGGGAUAACGUAGCGAAAGCUACGCUAAUACCGCAUACGAUCUAAGGAUGAAAGCGGGGGAUCGCAAGACCUCGCGCGAAUGGAGCGGCCGAUGGCAGAUUAGGUAGUUGGUAGGGUAAAGGCCUACCAAGCCGACGAUCUGUAGCUGGUCUGAGAGGAUGAUCAGCCACACUGGGACUGAGACACGGCCCAGACUCCUACGGGAGGCAGCAGUGGGGAAUUUUGGACAAUGGACGCAAGUCUGAUCCAGCCAUCCGCGUGCAGGAUGAAGGCCCUCGGGUUGUAAACUGCUUUUGUACAGAACGAAAAGGCUCUGGUUAAUACCUGGGGCUCAUGACGGUACUGUAAGAAUAAGCACCGGCUAACUACGUGCCAGCAGCCGCGGUAAUACGUAGGGUGCAAGCGUUAAUCGGAAUUACUGGGCGUAAAGCGUGCGCAGGCGGUGAUGUAAGACAGAGGUGAAAUCCCCGGGCUCAACCUGGGAACUGCCUUUGUGACUGCAUCGCUGGAGUACGGCAGAGGGGGAUGGAAUUCCGCGUGUAGCAGUGAAAUGCGUAGAUAUGCGGAGGAACACCGAUGGCGAAGGCAAUCCCCUGGGCCUGGUACUGACGCUCAUGCACGAAAGCCGUGGGGGGAGCAAAACAAGGGAUUUAGAUACCCUGGGUAGUCCACGCCCUUAAACGAUUGUCCACUUGGGUUGUUUGGGGUCUUCC